Long non-coding RNA from Canis lupus familiaris (dog), 3588 nucleotides. RefSeq lists it as uncharacterized. The record is from RefSeq and is a predicted model, not a curated record. Lineage: Eukaryota; Metazoa; Chordata; Mammalia; Carnivora; Canidae. The transcript is spliced from 3 exons.
UGGGGCUGAUUGACGUAGUCUGGUACUCCGUGUACCAGGUUGGAGUGGUUAGUCAUUAAGCAGACACUUGGGUCUCAGAAACAAGGGACCAAGAUGUGCUCAGCUGCCUAUUGUGGAGAACGGAGUUGGGGAUUUAUAACGUGGGGAAAGCUUAGCAUGAGGGCUUGGGUAGAAGACCCAGGCCGCAUCAAAAGCAAUUAAACACCACCUCCCAUUUUAGAGGGUUUGCUAAGGGCUAGGCCCGACGGAUCAGUGAUUUGUAAGCCUUGCCUCAAACCCUCACAACUCUGCUACCCCAUUUUACAGACAAGGGGGUGCAGAGGGCUUAAAGAAUUUACAAGAAGUCGCACAGUAGGUGGUGAUGCCCGACUUGAAUGCAGAGGCCAGAGCUCUUGAGUGCGACAGCUCUGCUUUUGUCAUCUGCAGUCGUCCCAGAGCUCUGUCCCUGGGUCCUGUUAAUUUUUGGCAGGUCUUAGAGGUGGAGGUGGAGCCAAGUCCAGAGGUCAAGGGUCUGGACCCACCUGGAGGCAGCUGUGUAUAGUUAGGUUGGACGUGGCUCAGCCCUUUCCCCAACCACAAGAAAGCAGCCUGGGAGGUCCCAAGCUUGCUGCUCUGGGGCAGGCAGCUCAGGCUUGCCCAGCUGGGGACGCUGGUUCUGAAGGUCAGAAGUCCGGGUGCCGUGUGACAGGAUUCUCCAUUCAGGGUCUCACAGGGCCCAAAUCAAGGACCAAGUGGCUUGCAUCUCCCCAGCUCCUCUGCUGCGGCCAACUGGAGGAAGCUCUGCUUCUAGAGGGUUCGCCUGAUUAAGUCAAAGCCUACCUAGAUAAUCUCCUGAUUUGGGACCUUAGUUACAUCUGCAAAAUCCCUUCAAGAGCCACUUGGAUUGGUGUUGAACUGAAUAGCUGGCCGGAGGAGUGUGUGUACCCAGGACCCAGAAUCUUGCGAGCCACCUAAGAAUUCUUCCUCCCACACCUGCCAAUGGCUAAUUGCCAUCAAUGUGGUGUUGAUUUGUCCCGAGUCCGAUAUGUGAUAAUAUGAUCAUGAUGAUUUUUGUUAUCUAAUCAAACACGUAUAUGGUGCUUAUUCUAUGUCAGGCACGGCUCUAAGGUUUUCACAAGUGUCAGCUCAUAUGAUGCAAUAACUCUUUGAUACGGUUGUGUUACUACGUCCAUUUUAGAGCUAACAACAUGGCCAGAGAGAGGUCAAGUAACUUCCCCAAGGUCCUACAGCUCUAUCGGGGACCGCUAGGUCCCUUAAUCAUAUCAAGCCUAGAUCAACAAGUUUGAAAGUGAUAAACGACGGUCCACGCGGGACCAAGAAGUGGGAUCCCUCAGCCUUGACUCCAUUCCCUUGGGAACCUGCUUACUAAGUACAAGGUCACUGGCAUGCCUGCCUGAGGGGUGAGGUGGGGAGUGCUGUUUGCUCUUAAGCGGCCUCCAGAGUCUUCUGUUAAUCUAGGUAUGUUGUGGAUGGAAUGUUUGUUCCCCCCAAAUGUUUGUGGGUCAUAUGUGGGAAUCCUAACCCUCAAGGUGAUGGUAUUAGAAGGUGGGCCCUUUAGGAGAUGAUUAGGUCGUGAGGGUGGAGUCUGCAUGAUGGGACGAGUGCUCUCAUAAAACAGACCCAGAGAGCUCUCUGGCCCCUCCUGCCAUGUGAACUUAUGGGGAGUAGAUGGCCCAUGGCCCAUCCCCAAACCAGAAAGCUGGUCCCCACCAGACACCAAUAUACUAGCACCUUAGCCUUAACUUCCUGGCUUCCGGAACUGUGAGAAAUACGCUUCUGUGUGUAAACCCCCUCCCCACCCCAGGCUAUGGCGUUUUUGUUAUAGCAGCCCAAAUGGACUUAAGACUAGGAGGGACAGUUUCAAUGAGACAGAUGUUUAACAGGAGUCUCCCCUAAAGUUUAUAAAAACCAAAAGGGAAACCAAGCAACGUGCUUAUGAAAUAUGGCUAAGUUUGCUACCGGUCCACCUCCUGGCCCAGCCCCUGGCCAGCUCCCCUUGAGCAGAGGACACAGGUCUCUUGCCUUAUCUCUCCUGACUUCCCUUAAGCAUUUAUCUGUGGCGUCUCCCCCAUGCCCAGGACAGUGAGGCCAAGACAGACAGUAGCCCCCUGGUCUGCUUUCUGCUUAAGGCCCACCUUCCACACUCUGGUUUCCUGUCUGAUUCCCUGCUGAUGUCACUGGGAGUGACCAGCCCCUACUCUCUAGAGCAGGGACUUACUCUGCAGUCAUAGGAGGUAGGUCUUAUCAGGUGGCUCAGUGACCCCAAAACGUUAGGACCAUUUAAAUCCGAGGCAAGGUAAGGGAGCCUUCUGUUAAUGUAAUCUGGAAGCUGCUUCUGGUGAGUCAAGAAUAGGUACGCCUAGGACUUCCCAUGUCUUACUCCAGUCCCACCCUUCAGGAUGUUUGGGACAGGACUAAGGGAGGCGUGUUCGUGUUUGCCUUCCGCCGUGGGCUCAUCUUGAUGAGGGACGUGGCAAAAAUCCUUGGCCCAGUCCUUUCAUUACAGAAAAAGGUCCAACCUUCAUGCUGUAUUCUCCACGAUGUGAUGGAGAAUGUCCUACUGCCUAAUACACCCUCCGAGACCUUUAGACUCCUUCAAGUGUAUAAAUUCUCACUGAUUUGACAAGAUUGAUUUUCUACCCUUUACUUUGCAAAAUCCAUUGUGAGGCCGAAGCAAGUAAAAUUGAUUUCCGCUCACUUUCCUCCCCACCCAAGGCCUCUUUGCUCACUUCAGGCGAUAUGAGAUUUUUCAACUUUCUAUACCCUUUUGAAAGCUUGGGGUUUUUUUGGGAGUACAGUGAAAUCAGGUGGCUCCAUGGGCCUGUGUGGGAAUUUUAAUGUGACGUUUUGGGUGUUUAAGCCUCCCAGGUUUAGAAGAGACCACUGUUGGAAACCUCAGUAUUUACAUUGUCAACGUUGGGCUAUGACCAUGGAAACUGGGCAUGGUAUCAUCUGCUUUUCAUCCAAUUCACAUUUUGUGCAUUUUACCUAAAUAAGAACAUGCUUCAGAAAGCCACCGGUGGAAAUUUAUUCCUAUGAGUUGCAUUGUACAGAAUCGAAUGUGCUGGGUGUGUGUUUGACUUCUCAACAUGUGAUACAAGGAACAUCCCGUUUAUUUCAGUUCUCUAAAGUGGAUUUAAUUGGUCCCAAACCACCAUCAGCCUGGCUGGAAAUUCAACCUAAGUCAUAAGGUGAACCCCACGACAGAGUUAAGCAGAGAUCUCAAGGGUCUGAUGUUGCCUAGAAUAUGGAAGGAGGGCCUCCUGGUCUUAGGUCCAUGUGGGCCCCAGUGGUGGUUGAUGUCCAGGCUUGGGUGGUUCCUUGGAGACAGGAGCCUCUGAGGCAACCACAAAGCCUAAUGAUCAGGCUGAGGCUGGGACCCCAGUGCCCAUGACCCAGCCUCCCUAGCGAGUACCUGUAGCAGCUGUUCUCACUCAGUGCUGUUGUGUGGGGAGAGGACAUGAACACCUGCUCCUGGCACCUGCCCCCAAACCACAGUCCCCCCUUAGUCUUGGGAUAUUUAUGUCACCUCAUGUCCACAAAUUCCACCCUAGAUCUCCCAGGGCUCUCUCCUCCGGCUCACCCUUC